This 32-nucleotide non-coding RNA is filed under the name Rattus norvegicus (Norway rat). The record is from RNAcentral. Lineage: Eukaryota; Metazoa; Chordata; Mammalia; Rodentia; Muridae.
UAGAGCCUCUCCAUGAAAGUGAUUGGACUUUU